CUGCCCUAUGAGGAUUUAAAUGGCCGCGGUAUUUUGACCGUGCAAAGGUAGCAUAAUCAUUAGUUUUUUAAUUGAAAGCUGGAAUGAAAGGUUGGAUGAGAAAAUAGCUGUCUCUGUUUAAAUUAUUUAGAAUUUUAUUUUUAAGUUAAAAAGCUUAAAUUUAAAUUGAAGACGAGAAGACCCUAUAGAGUUUUAUAUAUUGAAAUUAAGAAAUUUUUUAGGAUUAAGAGAUUUUUUUGUAUAAAAUAUAUUUAGUUGGGGUGAUUAAAAAAUUGGAUAAACUUUUUUUUUAUAGUAACAUUAAUUUAUGAAUAAUUGAUCCUUAAUUAAAGAUUAAAAGAAAAAAUUACCUUAGGGAUAACAGCGUAAUUUUUUUAAAGAGUUCAAAUCGAAAAAAAAGAUUGCGACCUCGAUGUUGGAUUAAAAUAAAAUUUUGGUGUAGGGGCUAAAGUAUUUGGGUCUGUUCGACCCUUAAAAUUUUACAUGAUCUGAGUUUAAACCGGUGU
Molecule: ribosomal RNA, 506 nt
Filed under: Leptopius sp. 2 MVD-2017
Lineage: Eukaryota; Metazoa; Arthropoda; Insecta; Coleoptera; Curculionidae
Description: partial 16S ribosomal RNA
Rfam family: Bacterial large subunit ribosomal RNA
Source: RNAcentral